GCACGACCGGGAACCUGUGCACGAUGCC
This 28-nucleotide small RNA is filed under the name Bombyx mori (domestic silkworm). RNAcentral describes it as "ovarian small RNA-16350". Lineage: Eukaryota; Metazoa; Arthropoda; Insecta; Lepidoptera; Bombycidae. The record is from RNAcentral.